This is a ribosomal RNA of Phytophthora infestans T30-4, 108 nucleotides long. The record is from RefSeq and is a predicted model, not a curated record. NCBI's taxonomy places the organism in Eukaryota, Oomycota, Peronosporomycetes, Peronosporales, Peronosporaceae.
CUCUUUAGCUUGGCAUUUGAAUCGGCUUUGCUGUUGCGAAGUAGAGUGGCGGCUUCGGCUGCCGAGGGUCGAUCCAUUUGGGAAUGUGUGUAUUCGGUAUGCAUCUCA